UCUCUCUCUUAUUCUUUUCUGAAAACUCUCUCAUUCUCUCUCUUACUCUCGAACUCACGGCAACCACCAAGAACCACCACAAUCUUGUACCAACGUUCCAUUUAAGACCACCAUCGUGAUCCUGGGGAUUUCACGAGCACGGGGAUACCAAUUUCAGGCUAAAAAAAGAUCACAGCGAGUUUAGUAAGGUCCCAAGGAAGCUCGGAGUGCUUCGUUGGAAGUUUUUGGACGUAAGAACACGGAGAUCGACAAGUUCAAAGUUUGGCCGGAGCUUUCGAGGCGUUUUCCGGCGAAUCCCCGGCGAGUUAGGAGUUGAGUUUCCGGCGACCUCCGAGGCUUUCGAGGCAGUUUCCGGCCAAAACACGGCGAACUAGGUGUUGUGCAAGGCGGCGAUCGUCAUGACGCCUUGAUGUGUGGUGCUAGGGAGUUGUUGGACGAACUCCAGGUGAGUAUCAGGUUCAGGAAUCACAAAGGUGUGGUGACUACGAGGAAUUCGACGGUGUUCUGA
This 508-nucleotide small RNA is filed under the name Malus domestica (apple). RNAcentral's name for it is "sRNA MD10G0087900". Lineage: Eukaryota; Viridiplantae; Streptophyta; Magnoliopsida; Rosales; Rosaceae. The record is from RNAcentral.